This 482-nucleotide ribosomal RNA is filed under the name uncultured soil bacterium. RNAcentral describes it as "bacterial SSU rRNA". It matches the Rfam family "Bacterial small subunit ribosomal RNA", at positions 26 to 518 of the family's 1533-position model. The record is from RNAcentral.
AGGAUGAACGCUGGCGGCGUGCUUAACACAUGCAAGUCGAACGAUGAUCCCAGCUUGCUGGGGGAUUAGUGGCGAACGGGUGAGUAACACGUGAGUAACCUGCCCUUAACUCUGGGAUAAGCCCGGGAAACUGGGUCUAAUACCGGAUAUGACUCCUCAUCGCAUGGUGGGGGGUGGAAAGCUUUAUUGUGGUUUUGGAUGGACUCGCGGCCUAUCAGCUUGUUGGUGAGGUAAUGGCUCACCAAGGCGGCGACGGGUAGCCGGCCUGAGAGGGUGACCGGCCACACUGGGACUGAGACACGGCCCAGACUCCUACGGGAGGCAGCAGUGGGGAAUAUUGCACAAUGGGCGAAAGCCUGAUGCAGCGACGCCGCGUGAGGGAUGACGGCCUGGUUGUAACCUACUUUCAGUAGGAAGAAGACGAAAGUAGACGGUACCUGCAGAAGAAAGACGCCGGCUAACGUACGUAGCCACGCAGCCGC